GAUGAACGCUGGCGGCGUGCCUAAUACAUGCAAGUCGAGCGAACAGACGAGGAGCUUGCUCCUCUGACGUUAGCGGCGGACGGGUGAGUAACACGUGGAUAACCUACCUAUAAGACUGGGAUAACUUCGGGAAACCGGAGCUAAUACCGGAUAAUAUAUUGAACCGCAUGGUUCAAUAGUGAAAGACGGUUUUGCUGUCACUUAUAGAUGGAUCCGCGCCGCAUUAGCUAGUUGGUAAGGUAACGGCUUACCAAGGCAACGAUUCGUAGCCGACCGUAGAGCGUGAUCGGCCACACUGGAACUGAGACACGGUCCAGACUCCUACGGGAGGCAGCAGUAGGGAAUCUUCCGCAAUGGGCGAAAGCUUGACGGAGCAACGCCGCGUGAGUGAUGAAGGUCUUCGGAUCGUAAAACUCUGUUAUUAGGGAAGAACAAAUGUGUAAGUAACUAUGCACGUCUUGACGGUACCUAAUCAGAAAGCCACGGCUAACUACGUG
Molecule: ribosomal RNA, 497 nt
Filed under: uncultured bacterium
Lineage: Bacteria
Description: partial 16S ribosomal RNA
Rfam family: Bacterial small subunit ribosomal RNA
Source: RNAcentral